This 1406-nucleotide ribosomal RNA is filed under the name Lactiplantibacillus plantarum. RNAcentral describes it as "bacterial SSU rRNA". It matches the Rfam family "Bacterial small subunit ribosomal RNA", at positions 61 to 1433 of the family's 1533-position model. The record is from RNAcentral. Lineage: Bacteria; Bacillati; Bacillota; Bacilli; Lactobacillales; Lactobacillaceae.
GUCGAACGAACUCUGGUAUUGAUUGGUGCUUGCAUCAUGAUUUACAUUUGAGUGAGUGGCGAACUGGUGAGUAACACGUGGGAAACCUGCCCAGAAGCGGGGGAUAACACCUGGAAACAGAUGCUAAUACCGCAUAACAACUUGGACCGCAUGGUCCGAGCUUGAAAGAUGGCUUCGGCUAUCACUUUUGGAUGGUCCCGCGGCGUAUUAGCUAGAUGGUGAGGUAACGGCUCACCAUGGCAAUGAUACGUAGCCGACCUGAGAGGGUAAUCGGCCACAUUGGGACUGAGACACGGCCCAAACUCCUACGGGAGGCAGCAGUAGGGAAUCUUCCACAAUGGACGAAAGUCUGAUGGAGCAACGCCGCGUGAGUGAAGAAGGGUUUCGGCUCGUAAAACUCUGUUGUUAAAGAAGAACAUAUCUGAGAGUAACUGUUCAGGUAUUGACGGUAUUUAACCAGAAAGCCACGGCUAACUACGUGCCAGCAGCCGCGGUAAUACGUAGGUGGCAAGCGUUGUCCGGAUUUAUUGGGCGUAAAGCGAGCGCAGGCGGUUUUUUAAGUCUGAUGUGAAAGCCUUCGGCUCAACCGAAGAAGUGCAUCGGAAACUGGGAAACUUGAGUGCAGAAGAGGACAGUGGAACUCCAUGUGUAGCGGUGAAAUGCGUAGAUAUAUGGAAGAACACCAGUGGCGAAGGCGGCUGUCUGGUCUGUAACUGACGCUGAGGCUCGAAAGUAUGGGUAGCAAACAGGAUUAGAUACCCUGGUAGUCCAUACCGUAAACGAUGAAUGCUAAGUGUUGGAGGGUUUCCGCCCUUCAGUGCUGCAGCUAACGCAUUAAGCAUUCCGCCUGGGGAGUACGGCCGCAAGGCUGAAACUCAAAGGAAUUGACGGGGGCCCGCACAAGCGGUGGAGCAUGUGGUUUAAUUCGAAGCUACGCGAAGAACCUUACCAGGUCUUGACAUACUAUGCAAAUCUAAGAGAUUAGACGUUCCCUUCGGGGACAUGGAUACAGGUGGUGCAUGGUUGUCGUCAGCUCGUGUCGUGAGAUGUUGGGUUAAGUCCCGCAACGAGCGCAACCCUUAUUAUCAGUUGCCAGCAUUAAGUUGGGCACUCUGGUGAGACUGCCGGUGACAAACCGGAGGAAGGUGGGGAUGACGUCAAAUCAUCAUGCCCCUUAUGACCUGGGCUACACACGUGCUACAAUGGAUGGUACAACGAGUUGCGAACUCGCGAGAGUAAGCUAAUCUCUUAAAGCCAUUCUCAGUUCGGAUUGUAGGCUGCAACUCGCCUACAUGAAGUCGGAAUCGCUAGUAAUCGCGGAUCAGCAUGCCGCGGUGAAUACGUUCCCGGGCCUUGUACACACCGCCCGUCACACCAUGAGAGUUUGUAACACCCAAAGUCGGUGG